AAGAGGAGUCACUACUUCGAGAACCACAAACCAACCAACCUUUUUAUUUAUAACAAAAGGAACAACAUGAGGUCAUUAUGUUAGCGUUAGGGCCAUUAACAGCUAAAAUAUCACGUUGUGUGUAAUGCAUCUAACCACAGUUAUCGAUUCUAACAUGACUUCGAGGGUGUGAAGGUCAUAUGGCAUCAUCCCAAUUUGUUCAUUUCAAUCCUCUCCCUUUUUUUGAUUUUAUAGCACUUCUCGUCUUGUUCAUUUUCCUUCCCCUUUUUCUUUCUGAUUAU
Molecule: long non-coding RNA, 281 nt
Filed under: Nicotiana benthamiana
Lineage: Eukaryota; Viridiplantae; Streptophyta; Magnoliopsida; Solanales; Solanaceae
Description: long non-coding RNA (NBEN_LNC037433)
Source: RNAcentral